GAUUGAACGCUGGCGGCAGGCCUAACACAUGCAAGUCGAACGGUAGCACAGAGGAGCUUGCUCCUUGGGUGACGAGUGGCGGACGGGUGAGUAAUGUCUGGGAAACUGCCUGAUGGAGGGGGAUAACUACUGGAAACGGUAGCUAAUACCGCAUAACGUCUUCGGACCAAAGUGGGGGACCUUCGGGCCUCACACCAUCGGAUGUGCCCAGAUGGGAUUAGCUAGUAGGUGGGGUAAUGGCUCACCUAGGCGACGAUCCCUAGCUGGUCUGAGAGGAUGACCAGCCACACUGGAACUGAGACACGGUCCAGACUCCUACGGGAGGCAGCAGUGGGGAAUAUUGCACAAUGGGCGCAAGCCUGAUGCAGCCAUGCCGCGUGUAUGAAGAAGGCCUUCGGGUUGUAAAGUACUUUCAGCGAGGAGGAAGGCGUUGUAGUUAAUAGCUACAACGAUUGACGUUACUCGCAGAAGAAGCACCGGCUAACUCCGUGCCAGCAGCCGCGGUAAUACGGAGGGUGCAAGCGUUAAUCGGAAUUACUGGGCGUAAAGCGCACGCAGGCGGUCUGUCAAGUCGGAUGUGAAAUCCCCGGGCUCAACCCGGGAACUGCAUUCGAAACUGGCAGGCUAGAGUCUUGUAGAGGGGGGUAGAAUUCCAGGUGUAGCGGUGAAAUGCGUAGAGAUCUGGAGGAAUACCGGUGGCGAAGGCGGCCCCCUGGACAAAGACUGACGCUCAGGUGCGAAAGCGUGGGGAGCAAACAGGAUUAGAUACCCCUGGUAGUCCACGCCGUAAACGAUGUCGACUUGGAGGCUGUUCCCUUGAGGAGUGGCUUCCGGAGCUAACGCGUUAAGUCGACCGCCUGGGGAGUACGGCCGCAAGGUUAAAACUCAAAUGAAUUGACGGGGGCCCGCACAAGCGGUGGAGCAUGUGGUUUAAUUCGAUGCAACGCGAAGAACCUUACCUACUCUUGACAUCCAGAGAACUUAGCAGAGAUGCUUUGGUGCCUUCGGGAACUCUGAGACAGGUGCUGCAUGGCUGUCGUCAGCUCGUGUUGUGAAAUGUUGGGUUAAGUCCCGCAACGAGCGCAACCCCUAUCCUUUGUUGCCAGCGAUUCGGUCGGGAACUCAAAGGAGACUGCCGGUGAUAAACCGGAGGAAGGUGGGGAUGACGUCAAGUCAUCAUGACCCUUACGAGUAGGGCUACACACGUGCUACAAUGGCGCAUACAAAGAGAAGCGACCUCGCGAGAGCAAGCGGACCUCAUAAAGUGCGUCGUAGUCCGGAUUGGAGUCUGCAACUCGACUCCAUGAAGCCGGAAUCGCUAGUAAUCGUAGAUCAGAAUGCUACGGUGAAUACGUUCCCGGGCCUUGUACUCACCGC
This 1377-nucleotide ribosomal RNA is filed under the name uncultured bacterium. RNAcentral's name for it is "bacterial SSU rRNA". It matches the Rfam family "Bacterial small subunit ribosomal RNA", at positions 27 to 1393 of the family's 1533-position model. The record is from RNAcentral.